RNAcentral lists this ribosomal RNA (253 nucleotides) under uncultured bacterium. RNAcentral's name for it is "partial 16S ribosomal RNA". It matches the Rfam family "Bacterial small subunit ribosomal RNA", at positions 524 to 776 of the family's 1533-position model. The record is from RNAcentral.
UACGUAGGUGGCAAGCGUUGUCCGGAUUUAUUGGGUUUAAAGGGCGCGUAGGUGGUCUUGUAUGUCUACCGUGAAAGCGUACGGCUCAACCGUAUUUUGUCGGUAGAAACUGCAGGACUUGAGGCUGGGAGGGGCUGGCGGAAUUCCCUGUGUAGCGGUGAAAUGCGUAGAGAUGGGGGAGAACACUCGUGGCGAAGGCGGCCAGCUAGACCAGUUCUGACACUGAGGCGCGAUAGCGUGGGGAGCAAACAGG